Molecule: ribosomal RNA, 433 nt
Filed under: uncultured bacterium
Lineage: Bacteria
Description: partial 16S ribosomal RNA
Rfam family: Bacterial small subunit ribosomal RNA
Source: RNAcentral
AACGAACGCUGGCGGCAUGCCUAACACAUGCAAGUCGAACGAGACCUUCGGGUCUAGUGGCGCACGGGUGCGUAACGCGUGGGAACCUGCCCUUAGGUUCGGAAUAACUCCCCGAAAGGGGUGCUAAUACCGGAUAAUGUCUUCGGACCAAAGAUUUAUCGCCUUUGGAUGGGCCCGCGUUGGAUUAGCUAGUUGGUAGGGUAAAAGCCUACCAAGGCGACGAUCCAUAGCUGGUCUGUGAGGAUGAUCAGCCACACUGGGACUGAGACACGGCCCAGACUCCUACGGGAGGCAGCAGUGGGGAAUAUUGGACAAUGGGCGAAAGCCUGAUCCAGCAAUGCCGCGUGAGUGAUGAAGGCCUUAGGGUUGUAAAGCUCUUUUACCCGGGAUGAUAAUGACAGUACCGGGAGAAUAAGCGCCGGCUAACUCCGUG